GGCUAGGAGCAACGUGGCAUAGUGGUUAAGUGCUUGCACUGCCACUCACAUGGUCAGGAGUUCAAGCCCCCUGUGGGUCA
RNAcentral lists this transfer RNA (80 nucleotides) under Sphaerodactylus townsendi. Its description in RNAcentral is "tRNA-Gly". The record is from RNAcentral. Lineage: Eukaryota; Metazoa; Chordata; Lepidosauria; Squamata; Sphaerodactylidae.